GAUGAUUUCGGUCUCGUGAAUCUUCUCCUUCAAAACAAAAUUUAAAAACUCAGCAACUCGUGUGAAUGAAGAUUCUGGUUCCCGAAGAUUUUCAGCCCUCCACUAUGUGUUCCUUAUUUGAAUCCCGACUGCAGGUUUGGAGAAGGUAUCACCAUCUCGCAAAAACUCUGACCGUGUAAAGGGGUUGAUUGAAGGUUACAAUCAUAACUGUUGAAGAUAUUCAGGAUAGAGAUUUGAUAAUGUAAAAAAAAAAAGAACUAAAUACUUAUUUCUUUUAUCUUUCAAGUUAGUUCUCUAUUCAACCAUCAAAUUGUAUUACCUCAUUCUGAAAGACUGGAUCUCUGGAACAUCAUCAGGCUCAAAUAAAAUUCUCGAAAAUCCAUCAAUU
Long non-coding RNA from Brassica napus (rape), 388 nucleotides. RefSeq lists it as uncharacterized. NCBI's taxonomy places the organism in Eukaryota, Viridiplantae, Streptophyta, Magnoliopsida, Brassicales, Brassicaceae. The transcript is spliced from 2 exons. The record is from RefSeq and is a predicted model, not a curated record.